UGGGGAAUUUUGCACAAUGGGGGAAACCCUGAUGCAGCGACGCCGCGUGAUUUAGAAGGCCUUCGGGUUGUAAAAAUCUUUUUUACGGGAUGAAAAUGACAGUACCGUAAGAAUAAGGUCCGGCUAAAUACGUGCCAGCAGCCGCGGUAAUACGUAUGGACCGAGCGUUGUCCGGAAUCAUUGGGCGUAAAGGGUACGUAGGCGGCCUAGUAAGUUAGAAGUGAAAUAAUAUAGCUCAACUAUAUAAAGCUUUUAAAACUGCUAGGCUUGGGAGAUGGAAGGGAAAGUGGAAUUCCUAGUGUAGCGGUGAAAUGCGCAGAUAUUAGGAAGAAUACCGGUGGCGAAGGCGACUUUCUGGUCAUCAUCUGACGCUGAGGUACGAAAGCGUGGGUAGCAAACAGG
Molecule: ribosomal RNA, 402 nt
Filed under: bacterium
Lineage: Bacteria
Description: partial 16S ribosomal RNA
Rfam family: Bacterial small subunit ribosomal RNA
Source: RNAcentral